This 1481-nucleotide long non-coding RNA is filed under the name Homo sapiens (human). RNAcentral's name for it is "metastasis associated lung adenocarcinoma transcript 1". Lineage: Eukaryota; Metazoa; Chordata; Mammalia; Primates; Hominidae. The record is from RNAcentral.
AGGCAUUGAGGCAGCCAGCGCAGGGGCUUCUGCUGAGGGGGCAGGCGGAGCUUGAGGAAACCGCAGAUAAGUUUUUUUCUCUUUGAAAGAUAGAGAUUAAUACAACUACUUAAAAAAUAUAGUCAAUAGGUUACUAAGAUAUUGCUUAGCGUUAAGUUUUUAACGUAAUUUUAAUAGCUUAAGAUUUUAAGAGAAAAUAUGAAGACUUAGAAGAGUAGCAUGAGGAAGGAAAAGAUAAAAGGUUUCUAAAACAUGACGGAGGUUGAGAUGAAGCUUCUUCAUGGAGUAAAAAAUGUAUUUAAAAGAAAAUUGAGAGAAAGGACUACAGAGCCCCGAAUUAAUACCAAUAGAAGGGCAAUGCUUUUAGAUUAAAAUGAAGGUGACUUAAACAGCUUAAAGUUUAGUUUAAAAGUUGUAGAUAAAUUUAAACCUGAAAAGUAGGAAGCAGAAGAAAAAAGACAAGCUAGGAAACAAAAAGCUAAGGGCAAAAUGUACAAACUUAGAAGAAAAUUGGAAGAUAGAAACAAGAUAGAAAAUGAAAAUAUUGUCAAGAGUUUCAGAUAGAAAAUGAAAAACAAGCUAAGACAAGUAUUGGAGAAGUAUAGAAGAUAGAAAAAUAUAAAGCCAAAAAUUGGAUAAAAUAGCACUGAAAAAAUGAGGAAAUUAUUGGUAACCAAUUUAUUUUAAAAGCCCAUCAAUUUAAUUUCUGGUGGUGCAGAAGUUAGAAGGUAAAGCUUGAGAAGAUGAGGGUGUUUACGUAGACCAGAACCAAUUUAGAAGAAUACUUGAAGCUAGAAGGGGAAGUUGGUUAAAAAUCACAUCAAAAAGCUACUAAAAGGACUGGUGUAAUUUAAAAAAAACUAAGGCAGAAGGCUUUUGGAAGAGUUAGAAGAAUUUGGAAGGCCUUAAAUAUAGUAGCUUAGUUUGAAAAAUGUGAAGGACUUUCGUAACGGAAGUAAUUCAAGAUCAAGAGUAAUUACCAACUUAAUGUUUUUGCAUUGGACUUUGAGUUAAGAUUAUUUUUUAAAUCCUGAGGACUAGCAUUAAUUGACAGCUGACCCAGGUGCUACACAGAAGUGGAUUCAGUGAAUCUAGGAAGACAGCAGCAGACAGGAUUCCAGGAACCAGUGUUUGAUGAAGCUAGGACUGAGGAGCAAGCGAGCAAGCAGCAGUUCGUGGUGAAGAUAGGAAAAGAGUCCAGGAGCCAGUGCGAUUUGGUGAAGGAAGCUAGGAAGAAGGAAGGAGCGCUAACGAUUUGGUGGUGAAGCUAGGAAAAAGGAUUCCAGGAAGGAGCGAGUGCAAUUUGGUGAUGAAGGUAGCAGGCGGCUUGGCUUGGCAACCACACGGAGGAGGCGAGCAGGCGUUGUGCGUAGAGGAUCCUAGACCAGCAUGCCAGUGUGCCAAGGCCACAGGGAAAGCGAGUGGUUGGUAAAAAUCCGUGAGGUCGGCAAUAUGUUGUUUUUCUGGAACUUACUUAUGGU